RNAcentral lists this transfer RNA (67 nucleotides) under Corthylus rubricollis. Its description in RNAcentral is "tRNA-Gly". The record is from RNAcentral. Lineage: Eukaryota; Metazoa; Arthropoda; Insecta; Coleoptera; Curculionidae.
UACUUAAAUAAUAUAAAUUAAUUAUACUUGAUUUCCAAUCAAAAUAUCUAAAAAUAUCUUAGUUUAA